RNAcentral lists this ribosomal RNA (343 nucleotides) under uncultured Desulfobulbus sp. RNAcentral describes it as "bacterial SSU rRNA". It matches the Rfam family "Bacterial small subunit ribosomal RNA", at positions 1040 to 1382 of the family's 1533-position model. Lineage: Bacteria; Pseudomonadati; Thermodesulfobacteriota; Desulfobulbia; Desulfobulbales; Desulfobulbaceae. The record is from RNAcentral.
GCUGCAUGGCUGUCGUCAGCUCGUGUCGUGAGAUGUUGGGUUAAGUCCCGCAACGAGCGCAACCCUUGCCUUUAGUUGCCAGCAGUUCGGCUGGGCACUCUAAAGGGACUGCCGGUGUUAAACCGGAGGAAGGUGGGGAGUGACGUCAAGUCCUCAUGGCCUUUAUGACCAGGGCUACACACGUACUACAAUGGCCGAUACAAAGGGCAGCGACACUGCGAGGUGAAGCCAAUCCCGUAAAAUCGGUCUCAGUCCGGAUUGGAGUCUGCAACUCGACUCCAUGAAGUUGGAAUCGCUAGUAAUCGUGGAUCAGCAUGCCACGGUGAAUACGUUCCCGGGCCUU